AAUUUAGAAAGUUUAUUUUGCCAAGGUUGAGGACACACUCCCAUGACACAGCCUCAGGAGGUCCUGAUGACAUGAUAGAGCACAAUUCGGUUUUAUACAUUUUAGGGAGACAUGAGACAUCAAUCAGUUUAUGUAAGAUGAAUAUUGAUUUGGUCUGGAAGGUGGGACAACUUGAAGCAAAGGAGGACAACUUGAAGUGGGGAGGGGGCUUCUAGGUCAUACAUAGAUAAGAAACAAAUGGUUACAUUCUUUUGAGUUUCUGAUUAGCCUCUCCAAAGGAGGCAAUCGGAUACAGAUAUAUCUCAGUGAGCAGAGGGGUGACUUUGAGUAGAACGGGAGGAAGGUUGGCCCUAAGCAGUUCCUAGCUUGACCUUUCCCUUUAGCUUAGUGAUUUUUGGGGACCCAAGAUUUAUUUUGCUUUCACACUCUCCAUGAUUCAAUUUUUUUUCUCCUCUUUUUCACUCAUUUCACUGUCUUUGUUGCCCAUCUAGUUGACAAACGAGGACAUUCACCAUCCCUUUUUACUCCAUAAAUACAGAAGCAGAAUUGGUCCUUCUAACACCAGACUUGUACUGUCAUUCAACUUUUCCCAUGUGCAGUAGCUCUCCAACUAGCACAGGGACCACAGCUUUGCUGCCUCAGAACCACACUGGCCUGAGUCAGGAGGUCAGUGACAGCCCACUUUCAGUUUCAUUUCUCUCCCCAACAAGUCAACCACUGGGGGAAGUUUGAAUGUUGACACACUUCAUCUGGGUCCCACUGUGCUUCCCCUCAACAAUGCCAGGUGGGGGAAGGUCCAAAAAGUUCAGGCCUGUUCAUUACUGCCAAGUGGUCAUUCAAAGCCAGUAAGUUAUGUCGGUUACAAACAAGCUACAAAAAAUUUUGUAACAAAGGUAAAAGUAAGCCCUAUUAAGUUGUAUUUUAUAUAUACAUAUAUAUAUUUUAAAUUAUACAAUUUUAUAUAUAAAACUUUAUAUAUAAUUUAAAUUAUAAAAUUAUGUUUGCUGCCUCAGAUUGCAGCUACUCCCUAUUAUUCCAUAACACAUCAUUUUAUGUAUAUAUACAAAAUGAUAUAUAUAUUAUAUAUAUAUAAAAUGAAUGGAAAUUGGAAGAGCUGAAGGAAUUCUAUUUUCUUCUUGAACAAGGUGAAAUUUUUUAUCAGCUGGACACACUUUUUCAUGACUGAGCAUAAGACAUUUUCCAUUUCCCCACCCCCAUCUUGUUCCUCAAGUUUUCUAUUAUUUGGACAGCAAAGAAAGCUUUCCACAUAAAGAAAAUGUCUUUAAAUUAAAUGUUUAGAAUUUCACAUUGUAAAUACUUUUGUAUUUAUGACUUUUAGGAAAAUCCUCGAUCAUUAAAACAGCCCUAAGCUUAAAACUUUUUCUAAUCAAGGUGGUUUUUAGAGCAUGUUCAAUUUGCAGUCACUGAGUCCAUUUCUUAACCAGUAACUAAGGAAAUUAGGAAAGUACAACCUAAUGACCCUGGAAUAGGAUGGAGUCAAAUCACACUCACCAUACACUGCUUCUGAUUACUGAACAGGCUCCCUAAAGAUGCUGUGUUCAUUACUGGACAUUUUUUUGUUUGCAAAUUCUAAUUCUGAAAGAUUUGUUUUACUAAAAUCCACGGCACAAAGAGUGAGAUUUUCUCAAUGGCAGCAGGCUUUUUGGUAAAUGAUAUUAGUUUAGAAACACAAUAUCUUUAUAGUCAGAAUGAAAUUAAAAUUUGGAGGGACAGUUUUGCAUUUUUCUAAACUUAAAACCCUGAUCAACUGUAACCAAUCUUAAAAAUAAUACAGUUUUCUUAUCUAUGAUUUAGGAAAAUAUUUUCUGCAUUCAGGCUAAAAUUUUAAAACAUGUAAAAAUGGAAAAAAUUAAGGAAAUUUUAACACUACUACUAAUAAGCAUUUACUAAGCAUGUUGGCCAUUUGCAGAGCUAAAUAUAUUAUUUACAUCAUUUCCAUGUUAUAAUGACAAUAAACAUACAUAAGGGCGGUUUAACAAAAACUAUUGGUUCUGCUGCUGGGGAGAAAUUCAUUCAGCUUCCAUUUGCCUUAGUUUUCAAAAACUAAUUGGCUUUUUCCCAUAAUUGUUAUUGUCAUCUUUCAUGAUAUUGCUGACAUAAAAUGCAAUCCUACAUCAAGGAUUUUUAGCCCCAGAGGAGUAGAGGAGCAAUUUUUACAGGCUUUACAUAUACUUCUCAGCUUUUAUACCAUUUCUCUACUAGAAGUCACAAACUGAAGGUCCUAGGCAAAAAGCAACCUACAAAUAUGCAUGGUUGGGCUUGUAUAUUUUUGCCUUUCCAUUUCUAAAAAUGUAAUUAGCUGCUAAUAUUGAAAAGCUAGGGAAUGUCACUUUUGGCUUCCAUAUUUUCUUGAAACUAUGGCCCAAAUCCCCAAAGGCCAUCAAUUAGCUAAGUAACUGGCUGCCCCAUUAGCAAGAGCUGCCUCUGCCUUCAUUACCAUCCCCACACACUCCAAGCUUCAGGCUAGUUGCUAUUCAUCACACAGUAGUCUGCCUUUCAUCUACCCCACUUCCCUCAAAUUGUUUACUGGCAGGUUCCCAGAGAUAUUUAGGUUUGUAAUUCCUGUCCUGAAUUGCAAACAUGAUACUAAUAGUGAAAACUUCCAUAGUGUUUACUAGAGCUAAGCAAUUUUCUAGGUACUUAAAAUGCAUUAAUUCAUUAAAUCUUCAAGAUAACCAAUAGGGUGAAGAGUGCAUCAGUCUGUUUUCACACACUGUGAUAAAGAAAUACCUGAAACUGGGUAAUUUACAAAGAAAAGAGGUUUAAUUGGUUCAUGGUUCUGCAGGCUGUACAAGAAGUACAGCAACUUUUGCUUGGCUUCUGGGGAGGCCUCAGGAAACUUACAAUCAUCGCAGAAGGCAAAGGGGGAGUGAGAACUUCACAUGGCCAGAGCAAGAGGAAGAGAGACGCAAGAAGAGCUAUAUACUUUUAAACAACCUGAUCUUGUGAUACCUCACUCUCGCCAUGACAACACCAAGGGAGGUGGUGUUAAACCAUGAGAAUCCGCCCCCACUAUCCAAUCACCUCCCACUGCACCCCACCUCCAACAUUGGGAGUUACAAUUGAACAUGAGAUUUGGGUGGGGACACAGAUCCAAACCAUAUCAAACACUGUUAGCAUCUCCAUUUUUACAGAUUAGGAAACUGUGACACCAAGAAGUUAAGAAUUUGUCCAAGGCAACACAUUUUGUAAGUGGUGGCACCAGACUCCCAGACAGGAAUCUAGCCAAGGGCCUGAGAAUCCACCAUUAAGCUUUAUUUUUAAACAUAGUGGAAGGCUCUGCAUGACAACACUGACAACAUCACUUCAGUUCUGCUCAUUACAUUUAGAGGUGUGUGUCUAAUGCAAGCUAAUCUCUUCUUUGAAACACCUAGGAAACAAAAUUUAGGUCGAGUUGUACCUCAUGUAGCUCCAAGAUACUUCAUUAGACAAGCAGCCCCUUCUCCAAGGCUUUGCUGCUAUCUACCAAAAAACUGUCAUUACAAAAGGACAAAUGGCUGGUUCUGAGUCUGAAGGCACUUGCAGAACUGUGCUGUCCACAUAGCAAUAAGCAGUGCUCCCAAGUUCAAGAAUCCUUUCAGUUAUUACAGUAAGACGUAUUUUGAUAUCUGCAUGCAUAUAAAAUUAAUGAAAUGCUUUAUAGAAAUGAAAAUCUAUGGAUAAUAUGUCAUUUUCUAUGUAAAUACCAUCAAAUUGGACUUUUUAUUACCAAGUCCUCAUUUCACGAUUAUGACUGACAAAUGUGUGGCAAUGAUCCUCUUAAACAUUUAUAUCUCAAAAUUCCAGGAAUUUUAAGCUAUUUCCCUCUGCCCAAGAAUGGACUUGAAACACUGCAAGCAGUUUUGUCUUCCAUGAACAUGACACAACCCACAAAAUAUUUAUUAUAGAGCAGGAAACCUCUUUAGUCUGCAUCUUUCAGCAUUUUUCCUUUUCUUCUUUUAUUUUUUCUUAAAUUUUUGAAUUUGUCGUCUUUUUCUUUCUUUAAAAAUAGACCCUAGAAACAGAUCCUUUUCUUCUUUUGUGGUGAUUUGCCCUUCUAAUUAUCUAAUUAUGACUUAAUUUAAUCUAAAUAAAUCUAAAUGUUUGGGUUUAUUAUCUGAAUAUUAAAGAUGAGAAGAUAGGAUUUGAACUCAGACCUGUUUGACUUCCAAAUUCUGGUUUGCCCUACUAUCCCGUAAUGCCUCCUAGAUGCCGAUUAGUCUAAGCGGCUGCUCCACAAGGCUUUUAAGCAUUCAAGAACUCUACUGGACCAUUUGAGGGUCUGUUCUGGAGACAGACAGUGCUUCAAGUGCUGAGGGCUCAGGACUUCACCCUCCCAGGAGGUACACACAGUACAAAGCCUAACAAUUUGUCAGCACAUAAUCAAUUGAAACCACACUCUAAAGUUAAAUUAGUUCCUUCCAAAUGGGGCAGACACGUGCUGACCAAUUAAGAGGCCCAAAGACUUGGGAGUAGAGGAUGAAUAGGAAUAAAUUGAGAAAGUAUGCAGGAAAAUUAUUGAAGGAAGAAUGAAGACGAGAAUUCUCAAUGCUAAGUUCUGGAAGAUGCUGGAAGAGAACUGAAUCCAAAACAAAUAUAUUUAUGUCAACUCAUCAUUGCUUACAUUUUCUAGUCUAACAGAGCAGAACCAUGAAAUUGUUUGAAAAGUGAAAAGCCUCUUCUAAGUAUACAAGCAGGGAGAGCAUUAGGAAUCGUAAAUUAAAAGGACACAGGUCCUAGCAGAGAAGCAAUGAAGCAUUGGGGAAGAGGGUUUCUGGGGAAUUUAUGUGAACUUACAGAACUGUGGUCUGCUGUGGUACCUGAGGAAUGUGGUCCAGCAUCAAGUGCAUGCAGCGGACGGU
RNAcentral lists this long non-coding RNA (4862 nucleotides) under Homo sapiens (human). RNAcentral describes it as "HSALNT0136691". Lineage: Eukaryota; Metazoa; Chordata; Mammalia; Primates; Hominidae. The record is from RNAcentral.